RNAcentral lists this long non-coding RNA (3662 nucleotides) under Homo sapiens (human). RNAcentral's name for it is "HSALNT0205276". Lineage: Eukaryota; Metazoa; Chordata; Mammalia; Primates; Hominidae. The record is from RNAcentral.
UCCAUAUUACCCUAAAAUGUGUAAAUAUUUUAACUUUUUUUGUUUUUUAUUGUUAUUUAGGGUAAAACUCUAUAACCAACACAGCUUGGCCUCUUAAUCUUCCUUCAGCACAUUGAUGCUAUGAAAAUCACAUUACUGUCAUCAGUGGAUUAAUAGAGCUGCUACCUAGACUGACAAGACGCAGUAAAAACGCCUGGCAAAUUGGAGCUGGGGUGAUAUGGAAUCCUACAAAGAAGAACCACAGAAAGCAUCAUUAGAAAGAAAGCCUAGCAAGUGAGAUAAAAUAACUGCAGCUAGAAAUGUUGGUAAUGGGAAGAAUACAAGCUUAAUAUCAAGUGGACCAAGAUUUGAAUCCCAAAGCUGACAUUUAUAAUUUGUUUCCUGGGCAAAGUUUUUACCCACUAAGUAGGAUGGUGACACCUCAGCCCUUCUGCGAGAAAAACAAGGGUGAUCCACAUCCCCCAUCCCUCAUCUUAAAGUCAGGUUCAUAACGGAUAAGGUCUCUGAAAGGCCAGCAGGAUGCUACCUCCUUAUCCCUGUCAGUGCCACACCCACUAGCAAUGGGCCUCUGAUCAGCCAAAUAACAAGCUGGAGGACUCAGGAGGCCCUUGCUUUGGUUCCUAUUGGAACAAUACAACAUAGAACAGGGCCAAGAAAAGGGCAAAGGAAAUACAAAAGGACGCCUGGAAGAUUUGCACAGGGCAAAGGAUGACUUGCUGAGUUAAUUUAAAGUGAUGUAAAUUGCUAAGACAACACUGCAAAGCAUUCAUAUCAUUUUUUUUUUCAAGGAAGAAAAUCUAAACAUUUUCCUCAGGAUCUUCAAUAAUAAAAAUCUAUUUAUCAAACAUGAACUUCUUUUUCUACCCUUUACCAGACUUCCCUACUUACUUGUCUAGAGCAGUUACUAAGAGAGAAAUAACCUGAUCCUUAGUAGUUCUUUCUUAUUACCUGGCAAUGAGGCCUUUCCCAGUGCCUCAAGAUUUGACCUUUGACUUCAUUUCCUAUUUAUCUCAUAAUGCCUGAGUUUUUAUGGCCUUCUCAACAUAAAACAUUUUCUUUGGUCACAUACAUUCCUUUCUUUUUUCUUAAGAUUAAAUAGGUUAUUUCUUAUAAUUACAUAGUGUAUGUUUACUAUAAAUAAUACCAAUUUUGAAAAAUGCUAAUAAAAUUACCUUUAGUCCACCAACCAGGGAAUAAUAACUCAUAACACAUUGCUGUAUAUCCAUCCAAUAUUUUUCAGUUCACAUAUGCAAGUGUGUGCACACACAGCCUUUCUUGUAAAAAUGGGAACGUUUACAAAAUAAUUUGCAUUAUUUCCUUUGAUAACUCACAGAAAUUCUUCCAUAUUUAGGUGGGUAGAUCUGCAUAAAAUUUAAUCAUUGAAACUUUUUAAAAUUAUGGAAACAUCAAGUAAUUUAUAAUAUUUGAUGAAUUCCAUAAUAUUGAACAUGUAGAUGAUUUCCAAUUUUGGGACGUUCUUUACAAUGAUAAAUAAUGUGACUAUAAACUAAUUGUAUAUAUGUUUUUUACUUAUCCUUGAUUUUCUUAGGUUAAUUUUCUAGAUUUAAAUGUCUUGCUGAAAAGUUUUAUUCACAGAAUUUCUUACAACCCUGAAAUUCUUUUUUGAAUGCCAGUUCUACGUGAUAUCUUCAAUUUGGCCCAGGUUUUAUUUUAUCUGCUGGACUGUUAAUUAUUAUUACAACAGAAAUAUUUCCACUGUAUAUUUAUUGGUCUUUUCAGGCUGAAAUUAAGGGAACUCUCCUGAGGCCAGUGUAAGUAAAAUGGGACCUGUAUUUAUGGUGCUGCAGAGGAGUUUCAUGAAAUCCAAAGUCAGAGUUUUAGUUUGGCCCCAAGAACAGCCUAGGCUGGAGACUAGAGAGCUAAAGGUAACCAAUAGAUAUUUUCCAUGCAUAUAUUUGUUCUCUCCUUCUGUGUAUAAGUUCAAUUAAUGCCAGUCUUUCUGAGUUUCCUAUUCCUUGUUUAAGUCAUUCUUUGUUUCAUUGAAAAAUUCCCUAGUCCAGUUCCUGCUUUCCUCAAGAAAGGAACUAAUUAACUGGACCAGUUUGGGUUUGAAGGUUCACUCCUGGUCUCUUCCAAACCAUGGGUAUAAUUUAAGCUAAAAAUGAAAAUAAAUAUGAGCAACAAAAGUUAAAGAAAUACUAGUAUGCCAAAGGAAAAUUUAACAACUCUUUAAAGACAUUUUGGGUCAUAAGGAAUCAAAUUGCUGACAAUCUGCAAAAUACAAUUCAUGAAGAACUUAUGGAUACAGCUAAAUCAGUGCUCACAGGAAAAAUCUAUCAUAAAUAAAUCUAUUGUUAUGAUAAUAAACAAAAAUAAUUAAAAUCUUUAAUCACUCAACACAAGAAAUUACAAAAUGUAAAAAAGGACAUUAGAAGGAAUAAAUUAAGGUUAAAAACAAUAGAAAUAGAAAUCAUAAAAACUGUAAAACUAUUACAUAGUUUCAAGAGUGCAUUGCAGAAUUAUAGAAAGCUUUUGCUUUAAAAUAAGGAAUAAGAAGUCCCUGUAUAUAUUACACACUGUAAGUUAAUUUAAUAUGGAGUCACAUUUUAAUGCAAUUAGGUAACAAAAAUAAUUUUUUAGAAAAGAUACUAUAUUGUUGAAGGCAAAAAUGCUAUGUGAGACUCAAUAAUUGAAGCCCAACCUGAUUCUCUGUCCCUAUGUUAAACAAUGCUGGGACCAAGCAAUAAUACCUUAUCUGCAUGCUUCAGAAUUACUGGCUCCUGAAAGAUAAGACUAGGAAAGACCUAAACAACUUAUUAUCAAGACUAACAGUUUGCUCCUGAAGACUCCCUUCAAGAUCGUCUCACAGCUAAGUUUAGCAAUCAAAGUAAACCCUGCCCAUUUCUAGCAUUUAUCUGCCUUAAAGUUACCCAGCCCAGACCCUGAACCUUCCUAAAUGUAUUUUCCUAUUUUUCCAACUUUGGGAGACUGCUAAGAAUUGUAUUGCAGUAUGUCUCAUACACAGUUUAGCUCCAUUAAUAGAUGUUUUCUGGUGGUCAUAUGUGAUAUAAUGGGCAGGCUUAACAAAAGACGAAAAUGCUAACUUGUGUUCUCUGUUUGCCACAAUGUCACUUUGGUUUUGUAGAGAUUAAGAAACUGAGCUGCGAGAGAUUAAAUAUUCUAUCAAGGUCAUUGCCCGCAAGCAGGGUAGGAGGAUUUAAAAAGGUCUGACACACACCUGAAAUUCUACUUGUUCCAUUACUACAUCCUGCCUGCAGUUGGCCAUCUCUAUUUCUGCAUUUUGCUGGAAAAUCCCACCUUGAGUCCUUUUAGCCUGUACUUUUCCUUCAAAUUAUCUCAAUGGCAGCACAUGAGAAAAGCCCUUGAAUUGCUCUUUUUAUUACUUCAGUUGCUAUAGAAAUUCUGUGUCCUACCUCUCAUCUUACCAGAAUGAUCAUCAAAGGAUCUGAAUGAUUGAAUUUGAGAAAUAAAAGUAAUGAUGGUUUCUCAUGUAUUAUUUUGUCUAUUUAUAUGUGCCUACUUGAACCUGAACAAGACUGAAGACAUUUAAUGCACGUUUGCAAAGGCUGUAGAGCGCAUCCAGUGGUUUUACAUGCAUUGUCUUAUUUGAAUUCGAUUUGAUUUGAUUCUAGUCUGAACUUAUUCUCAACAUGUUACCAUCCACACUUAUAAUAAAAACC